UGGGUGGCAGGGCUGGGUGACCAGCGUGGGUGACCAGCGUGGGUGACAAGCAGGGCUGGGUGACCACCAGCGUGGGUGACAAGCAGGGCUGGGUGACCUGCAGGGCUGGGUUACAAGCGUGGGUGACAAGCAGGGCUGGGUGUGAAACAGUAUUGGUGUGUCUUGUCUUGUUACUGACAUGCGUGGAUACAGCACAACGCUCGCGGGACUACGCUGUUCUGGCCUGCCCUGGUUGUAGAACCGCCUGGAAUCGCGAUGCAAGUGCUGCUGUUGUGCGGUAGUGUCGUGCGGUUGAGGUAGCUAGUUGAGUAGUUGCGUAUUCGCCGUCCAGACAAUGUCUGUCGACGAGGGGAGGCCCCCUUACGGGGGCCGGUAGCCCCCUUACGCCUGCCCUAUCAGUGGCCUCCGGGCCCAAACGCAUCGGGUGUGAGGUGGCCUGUGCUUCGGCUGCGGUCGGGGUGCACGGCUGCUCCAUGCGGGGGCUGGGCGCGGCGCCUGUGCUUAGGCGGGACUGACGUGGCCAUAUAAGGUGUUGUGCACUGGGGUGGCCUCCGAUGACCCAUUCAACCCGUGCCAGGCAAUUGCCGCGGGAAGUGUAAUAUGGAUACGCCCCGCACAUACUGUAAUCGUGCCUCUUGGACAGGUUUGACGUGAACGGUGACAUCAUGGCGGACGCGCAGCUGCAGACCUACAGCCCUGUCACAGGAGAAGCCGUACCACUGGACGUUAUGCCUUAAAGCCACUGUUCUAUGAGUAAUGGAGUUACGUUAAAUCGUUAAUCAGUGAGAGGUGGAGGUGUUCCCAGAUUGCAGUUCUGUGGGGACGCUUGAUUGGCUGGAUGUCUGAGUGCCGUCGGUUGAGGGUGCUCUGUCCUAUCCUCAUACUGAAAGACUAGUAGGCUGUGGCGGCCGUGUUUUGGCCCGCAUCAGGUAGACCCACAGAUGUAACAACAGGUGGCACGCGUGGGUGGCGCAGCCGUGGGGCUUGGAGCACGGCGGAUGUACGACAAUGACUAUCGGGACUUCGCCACCUUGCCCCUUACCCUGUUCCAUCGCACGCUGACGUUGUCGAUGAACUCCCCUGACCAGCGACAAGUCUGGGUCUGGGCCAAAACCACUGUUUGGUUGGAUCCAGCCCCAUGCAGCCGUGCCGGCCAAGUUGUGAAACCCCCUGUGCGCGAGCGUGCCCCCCCAUCUGUCCUGCGACAGCCCCAGCUUGUCGCCUCCACAUCACAUCUAGGAAAUUGCAGCCCUCCCUGGGGUAGUUUGGCACUCGUGGACAGGGGAACACCGUCCUCUUGCCCGACCUGGCUCCGAUCUGCUCCGAUGAGGUGGCAGGUACGCUAGCUCACCAGGGCUUAUGUCGGGAUUCCGGGAUAGCAGUAUUCCGGGACAACAGUAUUGAUUAUUUUACAUCAUAGACACUUGCUAUUGGUCUCCGCGCCCCAGAUAACAACUCACUCGCGCCGAGCGUUGUGCACAAAGCCACAAAGCGUUGUGUACUUGGUUCAGAGCCGAAGACACGAUUUAGCGAGCACAGCGUGUUAUACCGGGACGAUCUAACCCUGCAAUAAUUGCCUUUACCGUUGGCGUUGAUCCUGUAUAGUCUUGUUGCAUGAGUUUGAGGCAGCUUCAUUUUAUACACGUAUUGACACUUACAUUGUAUUCUAUAUCCAUAACUCGAAUGCCCUGCUAAUGCCUUGCACUGGGUUGGACUCGCACCCGGUUUUCAGCCAAGGCAUGGGUUGUCGACCCCUUCAGAAGCUCAUUGAGUACAAAUAGCCUGUUUCAAUGCAUCAUACUGAGCCUCGGCUGAGAGCCGCAUGUGUACAGGGACACCCCUAAAUGCGGGGUACUUGUUGCGACCUUCGAGUUUGGCCUCCAUACUUAGUUCUAUGUGAAUAUCUGAUGCACCUUUACAUGCUUGCACUGAAAACAUAGCUGCACCCUCGACCCCCAGCAGAAGUCACACGGGCUGCUUGCAGCGUAACUCCUUAUAUUUUGCAAGGGACUCGGGUGGCAGAGGCACACGGGUGGAGAGGGUGGAGGGACUGGAGAUGGAAGGGCGGCAAAGGCACACGGGUGGAGAAACUGGGGAUGGAAGGGCGGCAGCCAGCAGUACGGUCACAUCCGGCAGUGGUGGCGUAGGGAAAGAGGAGGCGUGAGGAGGCGUGUGCGUCAGCCAGGCCUUCUGCAGUACCCCUUUGCUUGCAUCUGGUCUUGAUACACAGCAGAGACGUAUCACGCAGCGGUGCAGCCCUUGUAAGGGCUGUCCUAUGCCACAAGCGCGCCCGCAAGCCCUGCUGGACAGUGCCCAGGGGCCCUGCCCUGGCGCCGUGCUCUGGGCUCCUGCGCGCGACCCGCUUCCGGGUGUGACCAUACUGAUGGCUGCUGGUCUUAUAGCCAGGGCUGUCUGGAAGCGCGGGGCCUGAAUGGGCACGCAGCAGAGGGGCUUGGCGGGGCCAGGUGGGCCUGGGACGGCACGGCGAGGGCCGCGUGCGACGGCACGACCUGGCGCACCUGCGUCGUGUGCUUGCUGACAUGUGCGAGUAUUUCACAAUUCACAAAUACUAUGUAACUAUGUAGUAUGCGCGUCAGGCACACUCGGGGCUGGCGACCGAAAUUGUUUUCGCCUUUCCAGCGCGACAGGCCCUCGCGCGAGCGACGCAAGGCAAGCCCAAAAGUCGUCACUUUCCUGGCGUCGGUUCCUUCAUACUCCUUUAAGCAUAUACAUCUAAGUAUCUGAUCGCAAACAAGCUACCUUGACCCGGGGGUAGCCCGAAUCCUAACGAAAUGCGGGGCCCCUGAAGAUGCCGACAUGCCCACACGCGAACCAGCGAUGCGCGCCUUGCCCAGCCAGUAGGCUGUGGACACGCGCCUAGGGCCGCGAACAUACACCAGCCAUGGUGGAACAUUUAUGGGCCCGCCAAACAGGCGCUAGGUCAGUCCAUGGACAGCGUGCCGUACGGGGCUGACGGACGCCCGGCCACGGCAAGGCCAGGGCACUGCUGGUCCUGCGGUCUGCCUCCCGUGUUUGCAUGCCAGGUAGUGUGUCUUGGCAAUGGAGGGCAGUCAGGCGCGGCGCACAGCCUCCAUAGCACUUGGGCGGCCUCACUACACACACCCAAGCGAGCACCCCCUCACGGCCAAAAUGCCAGCACGCCAGCGCGCCUGCCAUUACGCAUUACCUCCUGACCAUCGACUCCGCACCUGAACUUCGUUCGAGCUGUGCCACCCGCACUGGCAACUCCCAUAUUCCCACCCCACCACUGUUUCGGUUUCCGGUUGUACUUGGCUCUUAUGCAUGCUGCGCCAGGUGGGCAUGAUCACGGACAGCAGUGACCAAAACGAUCCGUCAACCAUAGCCGAGGCAGUGUCGCUCAUCAACGGCGCGAACAUGGCGGCCUUGGACCGAGGUACCGUACAAAUACGUUUCAUCUUGACUUGAAAUUUCAGCCGAAAUGUACUGGUAUGCGUCCGCGGUCACUACAGCUCAAGUAUCUGAGCACUGGGCCAGGAUGCGGGCCGCCAGCGCCUCCUGACAAGGGAUCCCUAAAACCCCCACGCCAACGGAGCAGCACUGUAAGGGGCUAGCGCCCGAAGUCUUCCCAAGUCAACGGACAAAGUCGGACCGCAACUUCCUUGCAUCAUUAUUUGCUGCUCCUCUUCCCACUGACUUGCUUUCCCUCAUGAGUUUGGAACAUGCUGCCCGACCCGCCAUGCACAGGUUACAGGUCACCCAGCCCUGCUGGUCACCCAGCCCUGCUUGUCACCCACGCUGGUCACCCAGCCCUGCUUGUCACCCAGCCCUGCCACCCAGCCCUGUCACCCACGCUGGUCACCCAGCCCUGCUUGUCACCCACGCUGGUCACCCACGCUCCGCUGCAUGCUUCUUUGGAUUUGGGACUGCUUGCCACCCAGUCCUGCUUGUCACCCAGCCCUGCUGGUCACCCAGCCCUGCUUGUCACCCACGCUGGUCACCCAGCCCUGCUUGUCACCCAGCCCUGCCACCCAGCCCUGCUUGUCACCCACGCUGGUCACCCAGCCCUGCUUGUCACCCACGCUGGUCACCCACGCUCCGCUGCAUGCUUCUUUGGAUUUGGGACUGCUUGCCACCCAGUCCUGCUUGUCACCCAGCCCUGGAGAUUGGGACUGCAGAGGUGGGGCCGCAUUAGCCCACUAAACACGGGCUGCUUUUACACUGCAGCAUUUCUUUUGCUACCAUUGUAAAAUAGAUAUUUGAUAUGCGACAAAAGAGCCGCAAGCGCAAGAAGCUGGCGGACGAGGAGGACAGCGAGGAGGAGGAGGACCCUAGCACUUUUAGCGUCAAGACCCGCAGGCGGAGGCGGAAUGACCGCCGCAAGCGCCGCCUGCAGGCAGGCAAACCGACGCAGCCGCCACGGUACUGGAGCAAGAAGCUCCGGAAGCUGGAGGCAGCAACUGCGGCAGUCGCAGCGGGAGCUGGCGGGGGUGAAGCAGCUGGGCAGGGGGCAUGGGCGCCGCUGCAGCUGCACUGGUCGGACAUCCGCUUCCGCUCACGGAAGUUCGGCGUGUACUCACAGUCGCAGCGCGUGCUGCACCGUGAGGCGCGUCGGCUUACGGGCGGGGCGCCCAUGUCGCGAGUGAGCAUGCGUGCAUGACGAGCAGCGUUACCAGCUGUCCUUGUCCGCGGCUGUGCUUGGGCCUGAGUCCCAGGUCAUCCACCCCACCCGCACCAACUUCACCCCCGCUGCACACAGGUGUCCAUCGGCUACGGCAACGCCAGCACCGGCCACAACUCCGUCAUCAAACGCCCCAGCCGCGGGCCGCAUAAGGCCAUGCAGCGGCUGCUGCGGCGCUGCUACGCCCGCAGCGUCGUGAUGAUUGAUGAGUACUGCACCUCGCAGGUGCGCGGUGGUAGGGUACUAGGGCGGCGGGGGGGGGGUUGUUUAUUCCAGAAACCGAAGCGGGGGGAGAGGGGGGAGAGGGCAAGUGAGGCCGGCAGAUCAGGGUGGACAGGGACGUGCUGGAUGGACUGGGACAGGCAGGGUGGGCUGGGUGACAAGCAGGAGGGAUGACAAGCUGGAGGGAUGACAAGCAGGGUGGGUGACAAGCAGGGCUGCGUGACCAGCGUGGAUGGCCAGCGGCCAGCGUGGGUGACAAGCAGGAGGGAUGACAAGCAGCGUGUGCCUCGUGUAGGUCUGCUACAACUGCGGCCUGCGGGAGCUGCGGAAGAUCCUGCCGCACAACGGCACGCGGCGCUACACUGUUCUGGCCUGCGACGGCUGUGGAACCGUCUGGUGAGCACGACGCAUGGGCCGAGGGGCUGAGGGCAACUGGGGACAGGUGGGCUGAGGGCCUGAGGACAGGUGCUCCGAGGACAGAGCUGAGCCUUUCCUUGCAUGUCACUGGCUUUCUUGUGCUUGUGCACGCGCUGGCACAGGAAUCGCGAUGCCAACGCGGCGGCGAACAUCCGCCUCAUCACCGCCUGCCUGGAGGAGGGACUGCCGCGGCCUGAGGCGCUCACGCGCCCCAUCCACGGCAGUGGUGGUGGCGGAGCAGGACGACAAGGAGGAGGCCAGCGCGCGCCCUGCACCCGUUCGGCGCCAGGAGCGGCGGCGGCGGCAACCGCCGCUGCGGCUGCCGCGGAUGCUGAUGCUGCGGUGCAGGGCGGCGGCGCCUACGGCUAGUCUGAGAUUAUGGCGCGUGGGUAUGGACCAGCGUGGGUGACAAGCAUACGGGAUGACAAGCAGGGCUGGGUGACAAGCAGGGCUGGGUGACCAGCGUGGGUGACCAGCGUGGGUGACAAGCAGGGCUGGGUGACCACCAGCGUGGGUGACAAGCAGGGCUGGGUGACCUGCAGGGCUGGGUUACAAGCGUGGGUGACAAGCAGGGCUGGGUGUGAAACAGUACUGGUGUGUCAUGUCUUGUUACUGACAUGCGUGGAUACAGCACAACGCUCGC
Molecule: long non-coding RNA, 5942 nt
Filed under: Chlamydomonas reinhardtii
Lineage: Eukaryota; Viridiplantae; Chlorophyta; Chlorophyceae; Chlamydomonadales; Chlamydomonadaceae
Description: long non-coding RNA (CREI_LNC000008)
Source: RNAcentral